RNAcentral lists this long non-coding RNA (1185 nucleotides) under Gouania willdenowi (blunt-snouted clingfish). Its description in RNAcentral is "lncRNA (ENSGWIG00000019254.1)". The record is from RNAcentral. Lineage: Eukaryota; Metazoa; Chordata; Actinopteri; Blenniiformes; Gobiesocidae.
AUAGGUUCCUCUGUCCCAUUCUGGGACAUCGGAACCUAAUUAAAGCCGCGAGCGGCGUCAUAGGUUCCGAUGAAGCGGCCGGGGGCGGUAACCCACGGUCACGUAUACCACUGUUGGGGAUUUGGGAAUUGGCCUGGAGUUGUAAGCGUUUUCGUAUAACGGCGUACUUAUCGCGAAGGAUUUUCCUGUGUCAUGAUAGGCCCCUCCCACUUUUCACAGCCUGCUCUAUUUGCCAUAGCAAUGUGCUUCCAUCUAAUAAGAUUCAUCCUACAGUGUUUUGAAGUCAACACGACAUAUCGUCUGUCCACUACAGCUGCUCGUGUAGGACGACCACAGAAGCGGCGCCCUCUGAGAACGCAAGGCAUUGUGGGUAAAUUGGUUAUCGUUUGUUGUUUGGGGCUGUACGGUCAUCAUGUGUAUCAAAUAUGAAGCAGUUUGAACUUUGCACUCUAGAGUUAUAAGCGUUUUCGUAUAACGGCGUAGUUAUGGCGAGGGAUUUUCAUGUGUCAUUAUAGGCCCCUCCCACUGGCCAUGAUGGGUAAAUUGGUUAUCGUUUGUUGUUUAGCUCUGGACAGUGAUCGUGUGUAUCAAAUAUGAAGCAGUUUGAACUUUGCACUCUAGAGUUAUGAGCGUUUUCGUAUAACGGCGUAGUUAUGGCGAGGGAUUUUCCUGUGUCAUGAUAGGCCCCUCCCACUUUUCACAGCCUGCUCUAUUUGCCAUAGCAAUGUGCUUCCAUCUAAUAAGAUUCAUCCUACAGUGUUUUGAAGUCAACACGACAUAUCGUCUGUCCGCUACAGCUGCUCGUGUUGGACGACCACAGAAGCGGCGCCCUCUGAGAACGCAAGGCAUUGAAUUUGCUCCCCUCUGUGUAGGUUCAUCCUACAAUGUUUUGAAGUCAACACGACAUAUCGUCUGUCCGCUACAGCUGCUCGUGUUGGACGACCACAGCAGCGGCACCCUCUGAGAACGCAAGGCAUUGUGGGUAAAUUGGUUAUCGUUUGUUGUUUAGCUCUGGACAGUGAUCGUGUGUAUCAAAAAUGAAGCAGUUUGAACAUUGCAUUCUAGAGUUAUAAGCUUUUUCCUAUUACAGCGUGCUGAUGGCGAAGGAUUUUCCUGUCAUGAUAGGCCCCUCCCCUCUUUUCCACAGCCUGCUCUUUUUGCCAUAGCAAUGUGCUUCCAUCUAAU